Molecule: long non-coding RNA, 1735 nt
Organism: Homo sapiens (human)
Lineage: Eukaryota; Metazoa; Chordata; Mammalia; Primates; Hominidae
Gene: TRPM1-AS1
Product: TRPM1 antisense RNA 1
Exons: 4
Source: RefSeq, a predicted model, not a curated record
UUUGAAAUCAGCCCAACUUAGAAAUGAAGAGCCCUGCACAUACUCAAUCCACGAUCCCGUUCCUCUUGGUCCCCUUCUCUCUUUUUCCUGCAGCGGCCGCUGAGACGCAUAAUGAUGAUGUAGAUGUGGCUUAAAAUGAUCAUCGGUGGGGGCAGGACUGGCCUGUCAUGAAAUGUCAUAAUCAGCUGAUAUCGCUGGAACUUCCACACCUGGUUGGAUAUUGAUUUUACUUCAAAGAAGGCUCACGAUGUAGGAGAUGACGAUCCACUCCUGGAGGGACGGCCAGCCAUCCAUCCGCACCAGGAUGACGUAGUUAAACAGCAGCAGGUUGACACAUCUAAAAGAAUCUUUGUUUCCAACUGGACUGACUCAUUGAGAGGAAACCUUCACUGCACCUCACCAGUGCAGACAGAAGACCUGGAGGCAGGACGGGAGGCAUUUUAUACUUCAGCACGAUAUGGGCCCUGACUUUUCAUUUUCUACAUGGAGACAUAUUGAUCCUGCCUCCCAAGCCUAUAAGCUUUACCAGGAGAGAGGCAGGCCCCACCCCAAGAUCCACUAUCCACUCUUUGAAGAAAGAUUAGAGCCAUGUUCUCAGACUUUGGGCUGCAUCCUAAUCCCUGCGAAGCUGCACAAUGUGUGAUGACUCCACCCUCCACCCGAUCCAGAGGGUCUGGGGUGAGACCCAAGGCUGAGAGGCCUCGAUGGCUUCCUGGCCCCAUCUCCGGCAGCAGCCUCUAUGGCUGGGCUCUCCUGCAGGCUGGGUGCACCCCAGGCCCUCAGAUGGUUCUAACCAGAAUCGAUGGGCAGCAGUGACUUCGACUGUAUCAUCAAUCUUGGCUGCCACAAGGUUGGGUGUCCAGGCCCUCAGCUGACCCUUGAGGUGGGCCCCCACACAGAGCUUUGCUCUGCCCCCAGCCCACCCUCAUUCAUCGCCCAGACCACGGCCAGGGACCCAGCUCCUCAUGUCCCAUACCCUGCUCCCACCUCAUCACCAGUGCAACCACAGCACCGAGGCCUGCCUGGCGGGGGCUGUGGCUUGAUGCUUGGGAUUUCAUGAGAAGUCUCUCUCCUCCCGACUGACGUGGUUGCACAAGCCACAGUGUGCCUGGCCACCCCCGCUGGGACCGCCUGCAGCUCGGCCAUUUCCCCCAGAGGCGCUCUGAUCUGCCCUCCUGCCUCCUCUCCUGUUCUUGUUAGCAGAGAGCCACACUCUGGGAGCUGUGUAGACCCAGGGCCUCAGAGAGGGCUGGAGGAUGGCUUGCCAGCCAAGCGGGUCAGUUUGGUGAGCACUUCAGAAUGAGACGCCUUGAUUUGUUUCCCUAUUCCAAGAGUUUACCAUCUGGAUUUAGCCAUGCCCUUGUAAUGACCCCACCAAUUUCAUGAAAAAUGGAAUCUGUGAAUUUGCUCUUUAAAUCACUAGUCAUCUCUGUUCAUUUAAAAAUAAAAUUAUAGUUCCUUAAGUUUGUAUUGCUAAAGGCAUCAGAAGAAUUCAUCUUAAGCAAAUAGCAUGUGACUAUUUUGCCUUAUGAGAUGGUGUAUUUGGGACUAGGAUGGCCAUAUAUCAAUAUAUGACAGGAUAUCGAGAUCCAAUGUUAGCCAGAGAUCUCAAUUAGUCCCAGUUUUGUUCUCAUAAUUCAUUUUAAUUCAGUGAAUUUUUAGAUACUUUUUUAAGCCCUUGAAGUUUUUCUUGAUUCCAACAUAUCAAAGCAUUCAAAAUAUACUGAAUGUCAAA